AGAGUUUGAUCCUGGCUCAGAUUGAACGCUGGCGGCAUGCCUUACACAUGCAAGUCGAACGGUAACAGCGCUUCGGUGGCUGACGAGUGGCGAACGGGUGAGUAAUACAUCGGAACGUGCCCGAGAGUGGGGGAUAACGCAGCGAAAGCUGUGCUAAUACCGCAUACGAUCUACGGAUGAAAGCAGGGGACCGCAAGGCCUUGCGCUCAUGGAGCGGCCGAUGGCAGAUUAGGUAGUUGGUGGGAUAAAAGCUUACCAAGCCGGCGAUCUGUAGCUGGUCUGAGAGGACGACCAGCCACACUGGGACUGAGACACGGCCCAGACUCCUACGGGAGGCAGCAGUGGGGAAUUUUGGACAAUGGGCGAAAGCCUGAUCCAGCCAUGCCGCGUGCAGGAUGAAGGCCUUCGGG
RNAcentral lists this ribosomal RNA (410 nucleotides) under uncultured bacterium. RNAcentral describes it as "bacterial SSU rRNA". It matches the Rfam family "Bacterial small subunit ribosomal RNA", at positions 8 to 422 of the family's 1533-position model. The record is from RNAcentral.